Molecule: transfer RNA, 65 nt
Filed under: Saprospiraceae bacterium
Lineage: Bacteria; Pseudomonadati; Bacteroidota; Saprospiria; Saprospirales; Saprospiraceae
Description: tRNA-Lys
Rfam family: tRNA
About the family: Transfer RNA (tRNA) molecules are approximately 80 nucleotides in length. Their secondary structure includes four short double-helical elements and three loops (D, anti-codon, and T loops).
Source: RNAcentral
GAUUGGAAAAGGCAUUCACUUGACUUUUAAUCAAGGAGUCAUGGGUUCGAGUCCCAUCGGGAUCA